AAUCCAUGGUGCGAGCAUUUCUGAAUCAGCAUUUUGAAUCAUUCUCAUGCCUCAGAAACUUUCUCCCUCCAUUUGUCUAAAAAUAGAAAUUUCUCUUAUUAGUUA
Small nucleolar RNA from Gossypium raimondii (Peruvian cotton), 105 nucleotides. It matches the Rfam family "Plant small nucleolar RNA R71". From Rfam's summary of the family: R71 is a member of the C/D box family of snoRNAs containing the C (UGAUGA) and D (CUGA) box motifs. Multiple nearly identical copies of this snoRNA have been identified in Arabidopsis, and it is thought to function as a 2'-O-ribose methylation guide for 18S ribosomal RNA. Lineage: Eukaryota; Viridiplantae; Streptophyta; Magnoliopsida; Malvales; Malvaceae. The record is from Rfam.